UCGAGAUUUGAGAAUUUUCUUAUAUAUAAGUGAUUUGUGCAGCCUGAGUUAUUAUAUUCUUUGAAAAUUUUCUCUUUUUUUUUAACUGUAGUCGAUUUUCGUGUAGACAUGAAGGUAAAAGGCGACAAGAAUCUUUAAAAUAAAAAGGUUAAGUUUACAUAGGAGUUAACCAUUGGUAUAGUAAUAUUAAUGAAAAUUUAUUGAUUUUUUUAUAAAGAAGUGUAGGUAGAAGAUGAUAGGCAGUUCUGAAAUCAAGUAUUAUCUCUUCUGGUAAUUCUUUUUUCUUGGUUUAAUGAGAAAAUAAAGAU
RNAcentral lists this long non-coding RNA (308 nucleotides) under Salvia miltiorrhiza (redroot sage). RNAcentral's name for it is "long non-coding RNA (SMIL_LNC013537)". The record is from RNAcentral. Lineage: Eukaryota; Viridiplantae; Streptophyta; Magnoliopsida; Lamiales; Lamiaceae.